CUGUGAUGCCCUUAGAUGUCCUGGGCUGCACGCGCGCUACACUGACCGGAUCAAAAAGUUUAAAAUCCUUGGCUGUCGAGUCUGGGUAAUCUUAUAAAUCCGGUCGUGCUGGGGAUAGAUCAUUGUAAUUAUUGGUCUUCAACGAGGAAUCCCUAGUAAUCGCAAGUCAUUAGCUUGCGUUGAUUACGUCCCUGCCCUUU
RNAcentral lists this ribosomal RNA (200 nucleotides) under uncultured organism. RNAcentral describes it as "partial small subunit ribosomal RNA". It matches the Rfam family "Eukaryotic small subunit ribosomal RNA", at positions 1462 to 1661 of the family's 1831-position model. The record is from RNAcentral.